This 380-nucleotide unclassified non-coding RNA is filed under the name uncultured bacterium. Its description in RNAcentral is "contains 16S-23S intergenic spacer region". The record is from RNAcentral.
UCCGGUUUGUCACCGGCAGUCUCCUACGAGUCCCCGACAUUACUCGCUGGCAACAUAGGACAGGGGUUGCGCUCGUUGCGGGACUUAACCCAACACCUCACGACACGAGCUGACGACAGCCAUGCAGCACCUCUACCGAUGUCCCUUGCGGGAGGGCCUCAUCUCUGAGGACUUCAUCGGCGGUUCAAACCCAGGUAAGGUUCUUCGCGUUGCGUCGAAUUGAACCACAUGCUCCACCGCUUGUGCGGGCCCCCGUCAAUUCCUUUGAGUUUCAACCUUGCGGUCGUACUCCCCAGGCGGGGUACUUCCUGCGUUAGCGCCGGCACCCAGAGGGUCGCUCCCCCAGGCACCUAGUACCCAUCGUUUACGGCGUGGACUAC